Molecule: transfer RNA, 57 nt
Filed under: Streptomyces sp. Act143
Lineage: Bacteria; Bacillati; Actinomycetota; Actinomycetes; Kitasatosporales; Streptomycetaceae
Rfam family: tRNA
About the family: Transfer RNA (tRNA) molecules are approximately 80 nucleotides in length.
Source: Rfam by way of RNAcentral
UAGCUCAGCGGGAGAGCGCUUCCCUGACACGGAAGAGGUCACUGGUUCAAUCCCAGU